AUUGGGAUAGCUCAACUGGAUAGAGCGGUGGCCUCCUAAGCUGCAAGCGUGGGUUCGAGUCCCGCUCCCAAUACCA
This 76-nucleotide transfer RNA is filed under the name compost metagenome. RNAcentral describes it as "tRNA-Arg". It matches the Rfam family "tRNA". Rfam says of the family: Transfer RNA (tRNA) molecules are approximately 80 nucleotides in length. The record is from RNAcentral.